AAGAUUGAUGUUGAAAUUUGUUUUGGCAUGGUUCAUGUUAUUUAGAUUGUUUUAAGGCAAAUGGAUGAUGUAUUCUCGAUGUGUGAUGUUUGUUGGUCAUGAUGGUGUACUUGUUACUCAUUUCUGGGCGAAAUUUAUUUUCACGAUUUUGGUUGGAUGGAUGAUGAGCACUGUUGCCAUAAACCCUAAAAAUUGAACCCAGGAGAUGUUUUGAUCUGUCUUGAACGCGAUUGGUUGUUGUUGUUUGUUUUUUUG
RNAcentral lists this long non-coding RNA (255 nucleotides) under Lathyrus oleraceus (garden pea). RNAcentral's name for it is "Pisum sativum (pea) long non-coding RNA (PSAT_LNC042004)". Lineage: Eukaryota; Viridiplantae; Streptophyta; Magnoliopsida; Fabales; Fabaceae. The record is from RNAcentral.